UUGUAAGGCCGCUCCCACAUCUGAUAAAACACGGAACAAGGAAAAAGUUGGAUAAGAAGACGAAGAAUCAUUAAAAAGGGCGACUGACAAGCCACCAUCCAACACCACAAAACUCAUCCUUCAAAAAUAAAAAAAGAAAACGAAAUCCUCAUAUCGGACGUCACUUUUUCAUGGCAGAGUUUUGUUUAACGAGCAACAUUCGUUGUCUUGUUUCCAGGUUAUUGUCGUGUUAUUAAACAGGGGGGAGGUUAAAGACAAAUUUGUCUUGUUUAAAAAAAUUCAAGAGAUUGAAAACGCAGAUGGUUUUCAUAGUUUUAAACGUCUUCUUUUAACGCUAUUGACUUUCAGACCUUCUGUCGACUCAUUUCAAACAAUGUUGCAGCCAUUUUGUGCGCUUGGCUAUUUGUUUUCAUUUGUUUAUUUUUUGAUUUUUUGAAAUAUAUAAAUAAAUAAAACAAACAAGUAAAAAGACCCUGAAGGAUCGUAACCCUGGCACUCGACCGGUUAACUUGCGUCUACACCUUUUCUUUGUAAAUUCAAAUCUCUGUGUGCAUAUCUCGUUUUGCAAAUAAAAAAAACACAGUUGCCGCCUGCUACUAUGUUACUAACCGUUCGCUAAAAGGUGUACACUACGAAUAUAUAUCUAUUUUUUGUGGAUCAAGGCGACAUCAUGUCGCAAAGUGGUUUUCUCUCAAACUCCAUCGAAAAAACUGCGCAAAACUUUAAAAAAUCCAGUCACGAAAUCAUUGAGCACAGGCAAUGCGAAAAUCGAAACUCAUCGAGUAAAACACACACACACACACAAGAAAAUAAAACUUUAAAAGCUAAAAAAAAAAAA
Daphnia magna is the source of this 838-nucleotide long non-coding RNA. RefSeq lists it as uncharacterized. The record is from RefSeq and is a predicted model, not a curated record. The transcript is spliced from 2 exons. Lineage: Eukaryota; Metazoa; Arthropoda; Branchiopoda; Diplostraca; Daphniidae.